ACGAACGCUGGCGGCAGGCUUAACACAUGCAAGUCGAGCGCCCCGCAAGGGGAGCGGCAGACGGGUGAGUAACGCGUGGGAAUCUACCCAUCCCUACGGAACAACUCCGGGAAACUGGAGCUAAUACCGUAUACGCCCUUCGGGGGAAAGAUUUAUCGGGGAUGGAUGAGCCCGCGUUGGAUUAGCUAGUUGGUGGGGUAAUGGCCUACCAAGGCGACGAUCCAUAGCUGGUCUGAGAGGAUGAUCAGCCACACUGGGACUGAGACACGGCCCAGACUCCUACGGGAGGCAGCAGUGGGGAAUAUUGGACAAUGGGCGAAAGCCUGAUCCAGCCAUGCCGCGUGAGUGAUGAAGGCCCUAGGGUUGUAAAGCUCUUUCACCGGUGAAGAUAAUGACGGUAACCUGAGAAGAAGCCCCGGCUAACUUCGU
This 429-nucleotide ribosomal RNA is filed under the name uncultured bacterium. Its description in RNAcentral is "bacterial SSU rRNA". It matches the Rfam family "Bacterial small subunit ribosomal RNA", at positions 29 to 506 of the family's 1533-position model. The record is from RNAcentral.